UGGUAGGUCUUGGUUUUAGUUGAGAAAAAGUGGAGCAAUGCUUCUUUUCUACCAUUUCUUUAACUUGCUGACGUUUUCUGGCAGUGAAGCAAAUGUUUUCUACUUGAGGUGCUACCAUGUUGUUUUUAUUUUGGUAGCUUGUGUACCCUUCAAUAUCUUGAUAUCAAGUUUCCAUUUAGAAAUGUGAACAAUACUUUUCGCUUUAGUCUUUCCUGCAGUUAAUUGGAUGGGGGAGGUGUAUGGAUCAACUAGGUUAUCAUAAUGAUGCUUACUAGUAAGGCUAACAGCCUGAGAAGAAAUUAUUUUAAUGCCAAAAACUGUUAGGAUCUUGCGCUUUGCUGUUUGUGACCCUGAUUGGUCUGACAAACAAGAAGCAAUUCAAUCACUAGACUUCAGAUAUAAGGACAUAUGGAGAACUGUUGGGGUAGAGAACGUGGGGAGUGAAGUAUUUUUGGGGCAGGAAAGGUUUUCUCCUUCAAGCACUUCUCUUCCCAUGUAAGUAAAAGGCCAAUUACCUAGUUUGUGUACCUCUCUUUGUCAUGCUUACAAGGGAAAAGUAUAUCUGCUUGGUGAUUUGAUGUUAUAGUUGUUAAGGGUGAUUAUUGGUCACUGGUAAUAUGCAACAUACCAGAAGACUGAGAAUUUGUGAGUUUGGUGUAUUUCUUAGGGCCAACAAGCAAACAGUCAUGAUGCUUUCUUGUAGCUCUUGGCCAAGUUAUUUUAAACAAUUGUUGGGUGUUUUUGAAUGGAUGUAGUUGAAAAACAGUGUCUUUCAAAUUACAAGUUCAAAUGCCUAAUAAGAGAAACAUGGUGGUUGAAAGAGUUGUCCUGAACUCUGGGAAUUGCAAA
This is a long non-coding RNA of Ipomoea nil (Japanese morning glory), 849 nucleotides long. RefSeq lists it as uncharacterized. NCBI's taxonomy places the organism in Eukaryota, Viridiplantae, Streptophyta, Magnoliopsida, Solanales, Convolvulaceae. The transcript has 3 exons. The record is from RefSeq and is a predicted model, not a curated record.